Molecule: ribosomal RNA, 460 nt
Filed under: uncultured bacterium
Lineage: Bacteria
Description: partial 16S ribosomal RNA
Rfam family: Bacterial small subunit ribosomal RNA
Source: RNAcentral
CCUACGGGUGGCUGCAGUGAGGAAUAUUGGUCAAUGGGCGCGAGCCUGAACCAGCCAAGUAGCGUGAAGGAUGACUGCCCUACGGGUUGUAAACUUCUUUUAUAAAGGAAUAAAGUGAGGCACGUGUGCCUUUUUGUAUGUACUUUAUGAAUAAGGAUCGGCUAACUCCGUGCCAGCAGCCGCGGUAAUACGGAGGAUCCGAGCGUUAUCCGGAUUUAUUGGGUUUAAAGGGAGCGUAGAUGGGUUGUUAAGUCAGGUGUGAAAGUUUGGGGCUCAACCGUAAAAUUGCAAUUGAUACUGGCAGGCUUGAGUAUAGUUGAGGUAGGCGGAAUGCGUGGGGUAGCGGGGAAAUGCUUAGAGAUCACGAAGAACUCCGAUUGCGAAGGCAGCUUACUAAGCUGCCACUGACAUUGAUGCUCGAAAGUGUGGGUAGCAAACAGGAUUAGAUACCCGAGUAGUC